UCUCCUUUUACAUUGAUAAUUUUGUUGAUUUGCAAAGCAGAAUUCCUGAUAUUUUUCUCUAAAUUUAUUCCUCAUCAAGUCUUGUUACCAAGUUCAAGCUCAUACUGCUCAUUGCACGACAGGCCAAUAAAUUAAGAGAUGAGCUGUUGGGGCAAGGAAUAGCGACUUUAUUUGGAAAGCCAGCAGACCAAGAAGAUGGUAGACUAAUAUCCCAAAGAACCAUCUUCCCCGAGUUAGAAUUCAGGCUUCUUUCACACUAAAAGGGGAGGGAGUAAAGUCCUGGUUCCAGCCAAACUCCGGAGGGGAUGUAUUAAUUUCUUCCUUCAUGCAGCCAUUCCUGGUAGGACUGGCCAGAGUGUUUCCUGUGAGCUAAACAAAGGUAUUUUAGCUUAAUGCUCAUUAUCUGGGAGGCAGGAUUCCUAGAGAUGGGCUAUUAAGUAUAAUUUAAGUUCAUAGGCAACAUCCCUUUAGCGAUUAACUUGUAAUAGAAUACAAAGUUUCUUUCCUGUUAUAGUCUCCCACAUCUACCCAAAUAUGCAAGCAGAAAUCAGAGUCGUUCUUGUUUUCUCCCUCUUCCUUACCCCAACAUCCAAAGCAUCAGCCAGCUUUCUUGACUCUUCCUCCGUAAUGUGUCUCAAAUUGAUCCAUUUUCUCCAUCCUCAUUGCUACCACGUUAGUCUAUAAGCGACUGUCAUCUCUUGCCUUGACUCUUGCAAAAAUGUCCAAACUGGUCUCCCUACUUUUUCUCUUGGCUCUCUAAAAUCUGUCCUCCACACAGGUGAUCUUUUAAAAACCAAAGGUUAUUCUCUCUUCUGAUAAAAAUACUUUGCAUUGCUCUUAAAACAAAAUCCAAACUUCUUACCAUGGUCUACAGCAGACACCAUGGUUUUUCUACUGGGCACCUGUUAUUUCUCUGGGUGCAUAUACUUCUUCUGGGUACCAAGUCUCCUGCCAGGACAUUGGAGCCCUAGAGGUGCCAAAGCACAUAUCUCUCUUAUUUUUGUGUAUGUUUCAUCUGGUUGGUUGAGUGCAAGGGAGGGAACUCUAUGCCCUAACAGCAAACAUCUUUUGAGUGAAACUGUUGUCUAGUUUUGCUUACAUCCUCCUCCUUUCUAUAGGAUUUGGACACAAGUUCACAGAGGAGGGGAGUUUGGGAGACCAGGGGCAUGAGGAGGGCAAGAGGUGACUUUUAAUAACAGCACUGGGACGCACUAGGAACCAUCCGUCUUUCUGAUAGCAAAGACCUUGCUCUUUGAGCCAGCUUGCUUUCCCCAAAUCGUCCUCCCAAGAGGCUUCUCAGCCUCUCAAGCAAAUAGAGCCACCCAAGCCUAUGUCUAGAUAGAUUUAGAUAUAUUUGAACAAUUUAGCUUUACACUGUUCCCCACCACAAUCACCUGCUUUUCAAAAACUCUGUAAUCACUCCAGGCCCUGCCUUUCCCCCCUAAAAUAUCUGCAUACAUGCUCGAGGGACCAAAAGAAAUACACUGUUCUUUCUGUAUGGGGCUUCUUAGUAAAUGCACCUAAAAAAAAUCCUGAAGUUCUAUUCUUAUUUGAGAUGCUUUGUUAAGAGUGAAAACACCUGCUCUCUGGCCUGUGUGAUAGCAGCAAUUCUCUGAGAUUCGGAAAUGAGUUGCUUGCUGGUUAGCUGAGAACCUGAAAUUCACAUCAAUUCAUUCAGCCUUAUGAAAGAAUCUAACCGAGGUAAAAUCAAUUAAUGCAGAUAAUUCAAACAUUCUACCAGCCCACACGUAAUGUUUUGCUAGCUCAUUUCUCCCCAGCGCUGCCAGGAUCACACCCUAUGCAACACAGAUAAUAAACAAAAUCAAAUCGUCGCUCUCAUAUUUGUGGCUUGUUCCUGGAUUUGGUCUCAUGGUUGUUUAUGAGGGAGUCCUAAACUGUGGAAGGAGUAUUUUUCACCCUAUUUCCAGUAACUGUUCUAUUUUUCUCAAUCCUAGAUAGGAUUACUCACAGCAUAGACGCUGCUUGGAACUGGUAAAUUUCUCCCACGGCCUUUUUAAUCUUCAUUUUUCUCCUGUGAACAGUAGGAGAACACACAUAGCUUUCCCGCAGUGGGGUUGCCCUUGGAGAAGACCUUGCAGGCUCUCCACCCUGGAGCCAUGACAUACGCAGCUACUUAGAUGUUUGCAGGUCGCCAGCCCAGGUGAACAGCUCUCAAGUGUGAGAUCAGCAUUGUGAUCAAGAAAGAAUCUCAAUUAUCUAGCCUACUCUGUGCUAAGUGAACAUUUCUGAGAACCUUCAAGAGCCCCAAGAAACAAGUUGCCUCCAUUUUCCAGGCCACGGUCAGAGCUUGAUGGAAAAAGAUGCCUAAUUCAUGCCAGUCGAGUUCUAGAUUCUGAACAGAUGGUUUAACACAAUUUAUUACACUUUAUAUAUUACAUUUAAUUUAUUACACUUAUUCUGAAAGUUUUGGGAGAAAAUUCAGUACCAGCUAGAGAGUCGUAAUUAAAGGAGCACAGAGCCAAGCAGAGGCUCCAAGCCCCUAUUGAAACUUCAGCUCUACCAGAGACAGCACCUUCUUCUGUGACUCUGGGUGAUUCCACAAACCUCUCUGAGCUAUGAUUUCCUAGUUGGUAAAAUCGAAGGACUGGAUCAGCUGAUCUCUAGGUUUUUCUGGGUUCAAAAUUUCUCUGAAUUUAUGGCACUACAUAAUAGCCAGAAGAGAUUCCAUGAAAAAAAUAGACUGUUCCUCUGCGAUAAUGAUUUGGUAGGGAUGGUGGUAAGAAAUUUUGUUUUCAGGAAGGUUGAUAGUAGUAACAUCAUAAAGGGAAGGAAGGAAAAGAAAAAAAGGCUACCAUUUACCAAACUUUUGCUGUGUGCUAAGCAAAUUCACAGACAUUAUCUCAUGUGAAAACACAUAAUUUCGGAGAUUUCCUCUGUAAGGGAGAGAGAUGCCAUUGUUUCUCCUUUCCCCCAAAGUGCAGUGAUAGGUAACAAUGAUGAGUGCUUUCUAUGUGCCAGGCACUCUUCCAAGCCUUUACACCUACUCACACAAUUCAUUAUCCCCAUUUACAGAUGAGAAAACUGAGGCAUAGGUGAUAGUAACUUGUCCAAGGCUAUCCAGUUGGUAAGUGGCAGCGUCAAGCUCCACACUCAGACAGUUGGGCUCUAGAAUCUAUAUUCUUAACCACAUCCCCAUACUGCCUCUUGUCAUUCAUUCAUUAAGCAAAUAUUUGAUGAGCAUUGACUACAUGAAGGCAUUGAAUUAAUCUUUCUUAAGGAUUCCAAGCUAAAUGAGACAACAUCCUUGUCCUUGAGAAGCUUAAAAUAUACAUGGUAGAUGUUCAGAAAUGUGUGUGCAAUCAGUGACCACACUUAAUCCGAGAACUUUACAACUAUCCCCUGUUUUCUGGAAGUGUUUGCAAUUCCAUUCACAUCAGUGGACAGUACCUGGCAAGAGGGAGCCCUGCUCCAGGCCCCUGUUCUAGAGGCCCUACUCUGGUUUUCUCUAGGGGCCAGGAAUCCAGGGGCCAUGGGCUGCAUCCACCUGGAGUCUGGGCCUCAGCUCCUUCUAACCUCCCUUCUGGGUAUCCGGGACCUUGCAAUUCCCUGCCCCAAAGGCCCUGACCCUACUUCCAGAGCCUGCAUUGGAAGCAAGCCCCUUGAGGGCACAUUGCAUCCCCCAGCCACAGACUCCUCAGCCAGCGGGGUGGCCAAAGGCAGCGAUUUGUAGGAGGAGAGCGUAGAUGGAACGUGGACUUGUGGGUUUACAGCGACGUGUGUCCACAAGGACUCUUGCAGAUCAGGACUGACUUGGGGGCAGGGAGAGGAGUCACAGACUGGGUCAGCUUGGCCUGCUCUGCCAUGUUCAGCGCAGAACUUCAAAGACUCCGAAAAUUCUACUUUAGAACCUGGCCUUUCAGGUCGUUAUGAAGAUAACUUGUCGAGAUAAGAGGAUAGAACAUAUUUUUCCUAAGUGUGCUAACUUGGUUGAUAAACCUUUAAAAAGUAGGUAUGUGGUAUGAGGGUUUCCAUUUAUACUUUUACUCGGGCCCCUUAGCCUGUCCACAGGUUUUGAAUGGGCAGUUGUCUGAUCUCAGCACUUUUUAGGGGUCCUUCUACAUGGGGUUUCAAAGUCCUGCUGCUGCUGUGUCUACCGUCAACCCCCUCUCCUCCCAACCGGCUACCUAAGGGCCCUACAGUAGAAGCUUCUUGGCCACCGUGGAGCCUCACCUCGUCCUCCUCCCCCAUCAGCUCCCUCCCACACAGUGGGUUCCAUGUGCCACUAUUUCAGCCACUUCCUGGUCCCUCUGUCCUUGCACAUUACCUCUUCCCAGGCUUGGCUGAACCCUCACUCAUCUGGAACUCGCACCCGGGUAGCUGAACUCUGCUGAGGAAUCUCCACAAUCAGCAGCCUCAACUGGGCUGAGGACUGCCCCCCAAAACUUACAGCUCAGUCUUUCAGUCUCUGUAAUAAUGAUGGAAUCCUUCUCUAUUUUUCUCAGUCUCUGAAAUCCUCUUCCACCCACUCUCAGUGGCUAACCUUGCUUCUUACUUCACAGAGAAGAUAAACCCCAUCCCUUUGGAGAACGCUCAACAUCCUAGUUCCAAAUCUGAAAUCCUCCCAGCCCUCCUCCUGCACUCCUGUUACAAUAGUGCAGAUAGAGGUGCCCUCCUCCCACGGGGGCAAUCCCAUCGCACUUCUGUGGCUCUCCCCCUCCUACCCCCAGGUUUCAGUAUCCUCACCUCCUCCUCUAGCCCUAAACACGCUCUAGUUUCUUCAAUUAAAAAAAGAAUUCUAAUGCGGACUUUCCCUUCAGCUGCUACAUUGCUGUCUCGUCCCUCGCCACUCCUUUACUCUUGAACCCACUUCAAUUUGGCCUCCACUGCCAACAUUCCACUGAACUUGACCUCCCUGAUGUUAGAUCCCACGGUCCGCUUCUCGGUCUCCGUGUGAUGCAAUCUGCCUUUUGUAGAUGCACAGUCAGAACUCUCUCCUCUCUCAAGAUCGUUGACGUGCCACGCUCCUCUACGAUUUCCCCUCUAUGGCCUUUGCUGGCUCUUUCCCUCCACUCACCCUCCAAAUGUUGAACAUCCUCCGUGCUCACUACCAGACUUCUCUUCCCAUGCUACCUCCCUAGGAUCUCACUGACUCCUAUGGUCCCAGCCUGGACCUCUCUUCUGGACUCCAGCUUUGUAUUUAUCUAACUGCCAACUUGACAUCUUCCUACACAUGUCACCUGGGCAGCUCAAAGUCAACGAGAUCACAAUUUCACUGCACCUGCUCCCUAAUCUGACUCUGAUGAUCCCCAUUCCUGCCUCUUUUCACACUCACCACUCCAGCUUAGCCUCCUCCCAGAGCCUCAGGAAGCUGGGUUGGCAGAGUACCUUCCUGAGGUGUUAAUCCACAUGGGCACUGAAACAUUGCUGGAAUCGAUCAGAAACAUGAUGCCGGUUCACGCAGUUUUCCAUUCCUGUCUUCGGUCACUGGCAAAAUGUCAAUUGGCCCUAUUCCCAAUUGGUACCUAUGUUAGAUACCUUAUUUAGAAGCUGAAUAUGUGACAAGAAAAAAUGAUUGUUAUUUAUGAUCCUCCACUGCCUGGUAAUGGAGGAUCUUUCAAAGCUGAGUGUGGACAACAUCUUCGUCCUUCAAGUCUUUGAUACGCCUGAAGAAAGCGUUAAGCUGUGGUUGAAAUAUCAAACGAGGAGUCAGAUGCUGGGACAGAGGUAAGUUGCUUCUCAUAAGAAAGGGAGCAAGACGGGGGACAGGAGAGAUUGAGCUGCAAGGGGUUGGGGGCGGGAGGCAGGGGCUGGGGAGGUUGAACACUAGAAAACAAGAACAGGGAAGGCCAAGCUAUUUGGGGCGAGAGACAUUUCUUCAGGUAGAUUUCAUAUGCUGAUGCCUCCUAAAUUAAUUUUCUAGCUGAGACCUCUCUCCUGAGUUCUAGACUUAGAGCCAUGUGAUAAGGAGAACUAGCACUUAUAAAGCCACUUGUACUAUUCUGGCAACUGAGCUAAGUGCUUUACCUAUGUGAACUCAUGUCUCAGAGGCAUUGCAAAUUCAACCAAAACAGUAUUCCUCAUCUACCUGCCAUUUCCAGACCUCUCCAUGCAGAUAACAAUACUAGUUUGCCUCUAGGAUUCCUCUUCUCAGUAACUGGCAAUCCUAUCCACCCAACUCCUCGCAUCCUCCCACAUCAUCGUCUCUCCCUGCGAGCCUCCUAAUGCUCUCCCAGGACCCAGUCUGGCCUCUCUGCCGCCCGUUCUCCACCCACCUCCAGAGUGACAGUUCACUAAAGCAGAUCUGAUGCUGGCAGUGCGUGGCUUCAAGCUUACCAGUGUUUCCCAUUGCUUUUAGGAUGAAGUCUAAAUCCCUUCCUAUACUCCUUUCCAUGCCUGGGCUGGCCCAGACUACUCCUGCAACUCCUCUCAUGCUCAUCUCAUUUCCGUUGCUCACAAUGCUCUGGCAGCUGAAACAAGGUGGAGAAGACCUGCUGGGGCGUCUUAAAAGGAGAAGCAAAGCCUGCAGAGGAAUGGCCAGCCUGGGCCCUGGGGUUUGGCAGGCUCUGGGCUCAGCGUGAGGAGGAGGAGCCCCUGAUCUUGGCUCAGUGAGUCUUUGCUCACUUCUGCAUUAUGGAUCCUGAUUAGUACCUGCCGGAGGGACGUCUAGCAGCUCUGUGCUAAACUAGAUCUUCUUUAGUCCACAUUACUCAUUCCUACUAUGUGCCAGGAAUGCCCUGGACUUAGCCUACCUACUAGAUGCUACAUACUGAGUGCUAUAGACCCUGUAACCUAGUCUACAUUCUAUCCAUUAUAUAGGAUAUAAUGAAUACUAUACCUAUAUUCUGUAUACUUUAUAAGAUAUAAUAACAGUACACAUUACAGUAUAUAUACAAUUGGUAAUAAACAAAAUGUAUUAGAUGGGUAUUAUAUCUACUAGCAGUGUUUUGCCAUAAUAGGUAUUUAGUAAAUAUAUGUUGAAUGAGGGAACAUACCUCAACAUAAUAAAGGCCAUAUAUGACAAACCCACAGCUAGUAUCAUACUCAGUGGUGAAAAGUUG
This is a long non-coding RNA of Aethalodelphis obliquidens (Pacific white-sided dolphin), 7019 nucleotides long. RefSeq lists it as uncharacterized. The record is from RefSeq and is a predicted model, not a curated record. The transcript is spliced from 3 exons. Lineage: Eukaryota; Metazoa; Chordata; Mammalia; Artiodactyla; Delphinidae.